CGCCUCUUGAAAAUAAUAAGAGGCCUAGCCUGCCCAGUGACAAAUUUAACGGCCGCGGUACCCUAACCGUGCAAAGGUAGCAUAAUCACUUGUUCUCUAAAUAAGGACUUGUAUCAACGGCAUCACGAGGGUUACACUGUCUCCUCUCUCCAAUCAGUGAAACUGAUCCCCCCAUGAAAAAGUGGGGAUAAACCUAUAAGACGAGAAGACCCCAUGGAGCUUUAAACCCGAUAGCAACUUAGCAAAUGCCUUCCCACUAGCUACAAAGCUAUGCUAGACGGUUUUAGGUUGGGAGGACCGCGGAGUAAAAACUAACCUCCGCAACGAAAAGAUUAAAACCUUUACCCUAGAGCCACUACUCUAAGGAUUAGUAAACUAACGUAAAAUGACCCAAUAUUGAUCAACGAACCAAGUUACCCUGGGGAUAACAGCGCAAUCUACUUCAAGAGUUCAUAUCGACAAGUAGGCUUACGACCUCGAUGUUGGAUCAGGGUGUCCCAGUGGUGCAGCCGCUACUGAAGGUUCGUUUGUUCAACGAUUAAAACCCU
This 548-nucleotide ribosomal RNA is filed under the name Pseudophilautus lunatus. Its description in RNAcentral is "partial 16S ribosomal RNA". It matches the Rfam family "Bacterial large subunit ribosomal RNA", at positions 1817 to 2597 of the family's 2925-position model. The record is from RNAcentral. Lineage: Eukaryota; Metazoa; Chordata; Amphibia; Anura; Rhacophoridae.